UACGGGGGGGGCAAGCGUUGUUCGGAAUUACUGGGCGUAAAGGGCUUGUAGGUGGCCAACUAAGUCAGACGUGAAAUCCCUCGGCUUAACCGGGGAACUGCGUCUGAGACUGGAUGGCUUGAGUGUGGGAGAGGUGAGUGGAACUGCGAGUGUAGAGGUGAAAUUCGUAGAUAUUCGCAAGAACACCAGUGGCGAAGGCGGCUCACUGGCCCGAUACUGACGCUGAGGCACGAAAGCGUGGGGAGCAAACAGG
RNAcentral lists this ribosomal RNA (253 nucleotides) under uncultured bacterium. Its description in RNAcentral is "partial 16S ribosomal RNA". It matches the Rfam family "Bacterial small subunit ribosomal RNA", at positions 524 to 776 of the family's 1533-position model. The record is from RNAcentral.